Molecule: non-coding RNA, 28 nt
Filed under: Cricetulus griseus (Chinese hamster)
Lineage: Eukaryota; Metazoa; Chordata; Mammalia; Rodentia; Cricetidae
Source: RNAcentral
CAGACUUAGUACUACCAUUUUGCUCAAG